GGGCAGGUAGUUCAGUCCGGUAGAAUGCGCCCUUGGCUAGGGCGAGGCCCCGGGUUCAAAUCCCGGUCUGUCCA
This is a non-coding RNA of Candidatus Woesearchaeota archaeon CG1_02_33_12, 74 nucleotides long. Lineage: Archaea; Nanobdellati; Candidatus Woesearchaeota. The record is from Rfam.